GAUGAACGCUGGCGGCGUGCCUAAUACAUGCAAGUCGAGCGAACAGACGAGGAGCUUGCUCCUCUGACGUUAGCGGCGGACGGGUGAGUAACACGUGGAUAACCUACCUAUAAGGCUGGGAUAACUUCGGGAAACCGGAGCUAAUACCGGAUAAUAUAUUGAACCGCAUGGUUCAAUAGUGAAAGACGGUUUUGCUGUCACUUAUAGCUGGAUCCGCGCCGCAUUAGCUAGUUGGUAGGGUAACGGCUUACCAAGGCGACGAUGCGUAGCCGACCUGAGAGGGUGGUCGGCCACACUGGAGCUGGGACACCGUCCAGACUCCUACGGGAGGCAGCAGUAGGGAAUCUUCCGCAAUGGGCGAAAGCCUGACGGAGCAACGCCGCGUGAGUGAUGAAGGUCUUCGGAUCGUAAAGCUCUGUUAUUAGGGAAGAACAAAUGUGUAAGUAACUAUGCACGUCUUGACGGUACCUAAUCAGAAAGCCACGGCUAACUACGUG
This 497-nucleotide ribosomal RNA is filed under the name uncultured bacterium. RNAcentral describes it as "partial 16S ribosomal RNA". It matches the Rfam family "Bacterial small subunit ribosomal RNA", at positions 28 to 507 of the family's 1533-position model. The record is from RNAcentral.